RNAcentral lists this long non-coding RNA (819 nucleotides) under Cyanistes caeruleus (blue tit). RNAcentral's name for it is "lncRNA (ENSCCEG00000012055.1)". Lineage: Eukaryota; Metazoa; Chordata; Aves; Passeriformes; Paridae. The record is from RNAcentral.
UUUUAUGGCUACUUUAAUCCAAAUAACUAAUCCUGACUUAGUGGAUCAAGAUAAAACCACAAUCUAUAGUUGCUUCUUUAACAAAUACCAUAUUGGGACAGUCAUUUGCCCACUCAUGGAUUUUCUGACUUCUUUAUUAUCAGAUGUUAACCAGAAAUGAAAAAAAAAAAAAAGUCAAGAAGAAGCUUAUACUUGAUUUUGGACCUUGGACAAAUCCAACAAUAUUCAGAAAAGGAAGAUUUGAAGUAGCAGAAGGGGAAAGCCCCCCGCUUCUUGGUGUGCCUCCUGAUUUUUAAUAAUACCACAGACUUUGCCUUGCAGUGAACCAGUUCCACAAGGAGAUUGCCACAUCAGAUUAUAUGGCUUUGUCAGUGUUUGUUAUUUGCCUUAUCACAGAGCUUUAGAUGUGUAUCCAGUGUAUGUGCAUCUGUGUAUCAGGACACCGAUUCUCACGCCAUGCGAGUUAUAGCCAUUUAAUUGUAUUUUAUAUGGUAUCAAACUUUCUGCCAAAAUCUGGUGUCGGAAUGUUUUUCGUUGUUAUGGGUCUAUCAACAUUACAUCAUUUACUGACUGCAUCAUGUGUGACACACAUGUCUGUGCUUAACCUUUACAGUUGGGAUAUCUGAGCCUGCUUUAAUCAAAUGUUACACUGCCAAAUGAGUGUUAUUCUUUAAAGCUUCCUUGCUGAGGAAACAGGUCUGAGUUUUUGUACGCCCACCCAUUAGAGGUUGCUAUCAAAUGCAAAAGAACUUAAUUAGCAACAAAUUGAUAUUUAGCUGAGCCCAAAAUUUAGGCUUGGUUGCCUUUUUCCUAUUAGCU